AGAGCACAGCCAGCAAGCGAUGGCGACCGCCGAAUCCUUCAAUCGCUCCUCGGCGCUGAAGCAGUUCGACGAGACCAAAGCCGGCGUCCGAGGACUCAUCGAAUCCGGCAUCAAUACUCUCCCCGCAAUCUUCCGCCUCCCGGCCCCACUCUCCUCCGCCGCUCCCGUUGCCGCCGCACUCUCCAUCCCCACCGUCGAUCUCUCCCUCCCUUCCGCUGGCGCCCUUGUCUGCGCCGCCGCCCGCGACUGGGGCUUCUUCCAGAUCACAAACCACGGCAUCCCCCUCUCUGCCAUCGCUGCCACCUUCUCCGCCGGCCGAUCGUUCCACGAGCUCCCCGCCGAAGAUCGUUCCCACUACUACACACGAGGACCCGCAGGCGGCGUCUCCUACAUCUCCAACAUCGAUCUGUUCCGGUCGAAAACGGCGAGCUGGCGCGAUACACUCCAGAUAUCAAUGGGCCCAAAUCCGGCUGAACCGGACCGGAUUCCAGCAAUCUGCCGGGCAGAGCUGCUAGCAUGGGACGAGCACGUUGUAGCCAUCGGCCGUCGACUGCUGCGGAUGUUGUCCGAGGGAAUGGGGGCGGAUCAACAGCGGCUGGAGGAGCUGACAUGUCUUGAAGGGAGGGCGAUGGUGUGCCAUUACUACCCACCCUCCCCAGAACCAGACCUGACGGUGGGGCUCGCUGAUCACUCCGAUCCGGGUGUACUGACGGUGCUGGUGCAAGAUCAGAUCGGUGGCCUACAAGUCAAGCGGACGGCUGAGGAUGGGGAAAUCUCGUGGGUGGAUGUGAAGCCUGUAGAAGGGGCAAUUGUGAUCAACGUCGGCGAUCUCCUUCAGAUAAUUUCUAACGACAAAUACAAGAGCGUGCAUCACCGAGUCGUGGCCAAUUCUUGUGAGGAACCGAGGAUUUCAAUUGCCACCUUCUUUAACCCUGGAAAGCGGGGAGAAUCUGUGCUCUAUGGCCCUCUGCCUGAGCUGGUAUCACCUGAAAAUCCAGCCCACUAUCGAAAUUUUACGAUGGCGGAGUUCUUGGGGACCUUCUUCAGUAAGGAACUGGCUAGCGAAUCUCUUUUGGGCCAUUUUAAAAUAGUGGGAGAAACAACAGAAACAA
Molecule: unclassified non-coding RNA, 1112 nt
Filed under: Hevea brasiliensis (rubber tree)
Lineage: Eukaryota; Viridiplantae; Streptophyta; Magnoliopsida; Malpighiales; Euphorbiaceae
Source: RNAcentral